CACUGCGGGAGGAUCAGCUGCUGGUGGCCGUGGCCUUACCCCAGGCCAGAAGGAACCAGAGCCAGGGCAGGAGAGGUGGCAGCUACCGCCUCAUCAAGCAGCCAAGGAGGCAGGAUGAGGAAGCCCCAAAGAGGGACUGGGGGGCUGACGAGGACGGGGAGGUGUCUGAAGAAGAGGAGUUGACCCCGUUCAGCCUGGACCCUCGUGGCCUCCAGGAGGCACUCAGUGCCCGCAUCCCCCUCCAGAGGGCUCUGCCUGAGGUGCGGCACCCACUGAACCAACAGCAUCAGCAUUACCUGGGAGCUCACCAGAAAUGCAGAAUCUCAGGCCCCACCCCAGACCUACUUGACCUAAGUCUACAUUUAAUGAGGUCCCGGAUGGUUCAAGGGCAUAUGGACACCGGAGAGGCACUGAGCUACGUCUUGGCUUCUACCACCCCGUCUUUGGAUUACUGUCUGCUCUAUGACCUGCUAUCAACUGCUCACUUUUUGCAUGUCUAAAGCUCACACUUCUUGAGAUGGAGGAUCUGGCAGGUUUCUCUGGCCGCUAGCCUGGGGAGGCUGUCCCUGUUAGCUGGAACUAUGGCUCCAAGAUGCUUCAUAGGCCUCCGGUCAGUGUUCAGACCAGUGACUCCCAGUCUGUGCCUGUCUCUGGUUCAGAGGUAGAUGCCAGGAUCAGAGCAAGCCAAGGAUCCCCUGAACCCCUCCAGAAGUGAGCUGUGGGAGUUUGGAUAACCUGCACAAAGAGAAGGGGAUGGCAUGUACCUUGUGACCUCUGUCCACUGAUGGAGAAUGACAGGCUGGCAGCAUCAGCCU
This 815-nucleotide small RNA is filed under the name Pan troglodytes (chimpanzee). RNAcentral describes it as "processed transcript". The record is from RNAcentral. Lineage: Eukaryota; Metazoa; Chordata; Mammalia; Primates; Hominidae.